RNAcentral lists this small nucleolar RNA (159 nucleotides) under Blastobotrys adeninivorans. Lineage: Eukaryota; Fungi; Ascomycota; Dipodascomycetes; Dipodascales; Trichomonascaceae. The record is from RNAcentral.
CUCAUUAACAUAUUCUAACUCUCCAUUACCAAGCACGGAUUUGAUAUCUCUAUUCAUCCGCAGCAUAAAUGGCAGAGAGAAGAACAAAGAUUCCCCUUUUUAAAUCUCUUUGGCUGAUUAAUCCCAAAUCCUUCAAGAGUUCGCUUAUGGGGAAUAUUU